RNA transcript from Sander lucioperca (pikeperch), 2679 nucleotides. It is a transcript of the gene named fatty acid 2-hydroxylase, with no coding region annotated. Lineage: Eukaryota; Metazoa; Chordata; Actinopteri; Perciformes; Percidae. The record is from RefSeq and is a predicted model, not a curated record. The transcript is spliced from 8 exons.
CUUUUGAAAAACCUGUUAGGCUUCUCUGACUGUUAACAGGUUGCAUCUACGAUCUUUUCCGAGUGUUUAAACGCCGCACAGACCCCGCCUCUCAUUCCUGUCCUCUCGUUAAUAAUUAAGAGUUUCGGUGCCCGUAGGUGUCAACGGCGAAGUUUAACUCUCAGUCCAGUAGUCAGGUCGACGGCCCUGCGAGCAGGUCUCUCUGCUCUCCUCUCUGUGUUCAGUUUUCGGUUCAGGUGGACGCUCUGCAUCUCCACUGUCAGUAUGUCUCCGUCCACGUCCCCCCGGGUCUUCAUGGAGAGGGAGGUGGCCCGCCACUGCACCAAGGACUCCUGCUGGGUGCUGCUGGGGACCAGGGUAUACGAUGUGACCUCUUUCUUGCGGAUGCACCCCGGCGGGGAGGCGCUCAUACUUCGACGGUCAGGCAAGGACGUGAGCCGGGAGAUGGAAGGACCCCCACACCGGCACUCGGAGAACGCCCGGCGGUGGAUGGAGCAGUACUAUAUCGGGGAGCUGGACAGAGACAGCGGCACCGACAAAGCACAGACUCUGAAAGAGAGGAGGAAGGCCAGUGAGCAGACAGAAGAAAAGAUGGCAGAAAAGAUGACAGACAAGAAGGUGAAAGAGGAGGAUGUGAAUGCCGCGUACAACCGCUGCAGCCCUGUGGACCUGGACAAGGAUUUGGUGGACUGGCGGAAGCCCCUGGCAUGGCAGGUGGGCCACCUCAGAGAGAAAUAUGAUGCGUGGGUUCACCAGCCAGUCGACAGACCAAUCAGACUGUUUGGAAACCCCUUCCUGGAGGCCAGCACCAAGACUUCAUGGUACUGGGUGCCAGUGGUGUGGCUUCCUGUUGUGUUUUAUUUCAGUUGGCACUGCUACACCACCCUGGCUAAGGGCACCACCAGGCUAGAACUCACUUCAGACUUCUCUAUCCCAAUCCAUGAGCACAUUUUCCCACUGCUCUUUUUGUUGGGCUGGUUCUUGUGGUCAUUGAUCGAGUACUGCAUCCAUCGCUUUGUCUUUCACAUGAAACCCCCAGCUCAUAACUACUACCUCAUCACUCUGCACUUCCUCCUGCAUGGACAGCACCACAAGUCUCCGUUUGACGGCUCUCGGCUGGUCUUCCCCCCCGGCCUGGCCUCCUUAAUGGUGGGAAGUUUAUAUCUGUUCCUCUGCAGCACACUACCAGUCAUCCUCGGGACAUCGGUGUUUGUCGGAGGACUGUGUGGCUACGUGGUAUAUGAUAUGAUCCACUACUACCUUCACUAUGGCUCACCAAAAAGAGGCUCGUAUAUGUACAACCUGAAGGCCUACCACGUCAAACACCACUUUGAGCACCAGAGAGCAGGUUUUGGAAUCACCACCAAGUUCUGGGACCACCCCUUCAACACAGUCAUCCCCGAUGAGAAAUUCUAACGCAGAAAUGGCUCUCCUGUAGGGCCGUAGGACUUAUCAACCCUCCUGAGCAACCAGCCCACAUCCUAUAAGCGGGAAACAACAAAGGAGGCGGCUCCACUUCUGCGGACUCCUUGGCCACUGCAACUAAUCCAUACAUCCAUACUAUAUCACAUAUCAUCCUGCUUUUUUAUUCCAGCCAGCAACACAUUUUUUGCUUUUUGCGUAUUCGUGGACCACUCCGCACUGUUUCCUCACUGUGAUCAUUCAUGCACAGGUGUAAGGCCUUUCUGUGCCAUUCUUUAUAACCAAACCAACAUUUACUACUGCUGUGCUCCUCACUGCACUGACCUCACCAGCCAAAUCAUCACCCUAUAGCCAUUCACAACAUCAUAAUGUACAGCUAGGAGGUGUCAUCUAUAUAUUUUGAUUGUUGUGGUUAAAUUGAAUUUGAAGGAAUUGGAUGAUUCCUCUAUCGCUGUAGAAUACUGCAGAGCACAUUCAAAACUCUUCACACUGAAGAAACUCAAAAAAUACUCAAAAUACACGCUCUUUCACUGGUUCCUAAGAAUGCCAACAGCAUAACACAAAUAAAUGUAGACCCACAUUACCAAUGGAAAUAUAUAUACACACACACACACACACACACACACACACACACACACACACACACACACUGUCGUAGCUCCCUUCAGAGGACAGAGGGAAAAAGAAGUGAAAGAUAGUGGGUGAAUGUGGAAGACGGAUAAGGAAUCGGAUGGGACAGAGAGACAGAAAGUGUGUUAGAGAGUGUAUGUAGAGACUGAGUGAGAGAGAGCCCCCAAAAUAGUGAACCAACUCAGGAAAGAAACCUUUACCCUUCCUCCACACUAACUGCAGCUUGAACAUUCCUCAUCACUGCAUCUCUUUUUGCCGUCAAUCACUAAGCUACCCCGACGCGCUUGCUACACUCUAUUGCACUGCACGUUUGUAACAGUCAAGAGAAGUUCUCUCCACCAUGUUUGGCCUCACUGUAGUUUUUUAAACAACUGUGAACCGAUAACAUUUGGUUUCAGAUAGUUGAACAUGCUGCGAUUUAUUUGGCCAUUUAGAUUUCAUUUAUUAUAAGCAAAGCUGCAUAAGUGAAACUAUACUGUAGGGCACUACUAAUGCAAUGUACUGUUGAUGUCAUGUGAAGCAGAGCCUGAAAUGUGGAGAUAUAUUUUUGCGAGUCUUUUGUAAUAUUUCCUCCAUUUUCUUUUCUUUUCGUCAUUAAUGAUACAACAACGAUGUAGAAAAAAUAUU